This 679-nucleotide ribosomal RNA is filed under the name uncultured bacterium. RNAcentral describes it as "bacterial SSU rRNA". It matches the Rfam family "Bacterial small subunit ribosomal RNA", at positions 74 to 750 of the family's 1533-position model. The record is from RNAcentral.
GGGUAGCAAUAUCUGAUGACGACCGGCAAACCGGUGCGGAACAUGUACGCAAUCUUCCCAAAACUGGUGAAUAGCCCUCCGAAAGGAGGAUUAAUACACCGUAAUAUAAUGAAGUGGCAUCACUUUAUUAUUAUAGCUCCGGCGGUUUUGGAUGAGCGUGCACCUGAUUAGGUAGUUGGUGGGGUAACGGCUCACCAAGCCUACGAUCAGUAACUGGUGUGAGAGCACGACCAGUCACACGGGCACUGAGACACGGGCCCGACUCCUACGGGAGGCAGCAGUAAGGAAUAUUGGUCAAUGGACGAAAGUCUGAACCAGCCAUGCCGCGUGAAGGAUUAAGGCCCUCUGGGUUGUAAACUUCUUUUAUAUGGGACGAAAAAAGGGAAUUCUUUCUCACUUGACGGUACCAUAAGAAUAAGCACCGGCUAACUCCGUGCCAGCAGCCGCGGUAAUACGGAGGGUGCAAGCGUUAUCCGGAUUUACUGGGUUUAAAGGGAGCGUAGGUGGGCAGGUAAGUCAGUGGUGAAAUCUCUGGGCUUAACCCGGAAACUGCCAUUGAUACUAUUUGUCUUGAAUUAUCUGGAGGUAAGCGGAAUAUGUCAUGUAGCGGUGAAAUGCUUAGAUAUGACAUAGAACACCCAUUGCGAAGGCAGCUUACUACGGAUAUAUUGACACUGAG